GACCUGAUGGUGCAACGGUUAGCACGCUUGCUUCAAGUGUUAAGGUUAUCCAGCGAAAUAAUUUCAGUAAGAAACCCCCGUUCGACUCGGGGUCAGGUCU
Molecule: non-coding RNA, 100 nt
Organism: Mycena crocata
Lineage: Eukaryota; Fungi; Basidiomycota; Agaricomycetes; Agaricales; Mycenaceae
Source: the annotation of a GenBank genome assembly